This 1119-nucleotide long non-coding RNA is filed under the name Monodelphis domestica (gray short-tailed opossum). RNAcentral describes it as "lncRNA (ENSMODG00000048606.1)". The record is from RNAcentral. Lineage: Eukaryota; Metazoa; Chordata; Mammalia; Didelphimorphia; Didelphidae.
UUCAUCCCAGAUAACAUCUUCAAACUAGGGUAUCAGAAGAGAAGAACACAGUAUUUGGUUAAGUAUUUUGACAAAAGGAGAGAAGGGACCACCCUACAUUAGGAGAGGACACACAUUUCAAAUAGCAGGAAAAGGCGAGUAACAAAACAAUAAUCUUAGACUUUGAAUGGAUAGAGGCAUACAUGGACUUAUAGCCUGCUGGAGUAGACGUAUAAGUGACUAUAAAAAAUAAGAACCUAAAGCUUGUGGUCAUACUCAUCUAUAAAGUGAAAGCCAGAAAUGUCCUAAUAUCUAAUAGAAGAAAAGCCUUGGUAGGAGAGAACCUAUUUGAGGUUUUCCUACAUUUGUUUAAUUACUUAAGAGGAUUUCCUAAAGCAACCAAAUAGCUUUUCAUUCACACCAUACUCCUUUAGUCUUCUUGCUCCUCAUGUUUACCCAUUGUCUACUUGGAAAUUCAGAGAUGAUUAAGUCUUCCAUUUUUGCUGCCACAUUUACUAUAUAAACAUUACUUAUUCAACCUAAAAGUCAAGAAAAACCUCAACUAUGGACAACUUCACUUUUUUUUUUCGGGAGGUAUUCAUUAGAAUCAAGUGAUUGGGGAGAAAGUUUGUGUUUUUUUGUUUUUUUGGCUGUUAGUCUUUACAAGUUAUUUAUUGACAUUUUUUUCCUCCCUUCUGAUAGAUAACUCUUCAGAUGACAUCUAAGAUGUUACAACUUUUGUGAGAAUUUUGGAAGUCAUUCUUUCUCUAUAUUCCAUCAUCAACUUAUUUUAAAAAGCAGUCUGCCAGAUUUGCUUAGACCAUUAAGCAUGACUCCAGUGGUCCAAGUACAUCUCUACAAGAGGCCCCACAAACCAAGACUUCUGAAAGUUUUGUUUUCCUCCUAACAAGAGGGUCAGAUUGGCUGUAUUUUACUUUAGAGGCUAAAGAUGUUAUAAACAACUAAGAAAGAAAAUGUAUCCAGCGACUGUGCAUGACACAUUGUACAGUAAAAGUAGUCACAGCAAAUAACUAUGCCCUGAGGCACUUUGAACAUAAAAAAUGAGUGAUCACAUGCAGAAUUUCUGACUGUUAGAGAUAAAAUUAGCAAAAAACCACUACUUGACCAACGGUCAUUUUC